UUAAAGAUAAUUGGAAAGCUGGAAAUGGCUGCUAUCGGCUGAUUUUUAAAAAAUACAUUAUUUCUGAAAUAGGGCUGGUGUAAUAAUGACCCUAUCUGUUCAAGAUUUAAGAUUUGUCUUGGCAGAGAAAAUUGAUCCAUUUCACCUUUGUCUAAUGGAAAUUUUUAUCUAGGAUUAUGUGUUUAUGUAAAUGAAUAUCCCCGUGAAAAGGGAACUUGAGGAGGCUGUAAAUCUUGGUGACACUUCAGUUUCAUAGGGGAGAAAUUGGAAAGGAUUCUAGUAUUUAUCAGCCCGAAAUUGGUUAUAAAAACAAAAUUAUCUUCCUGUACCUGCAGCAUCUGAUGUUUUCUGAAAUUUCAUUAUAUUUCUAAAUAAUUCAGGGAGUCUUGGGAAUAGUGUUUUGACAUGACCUCAAUCAGUUGUUGUUUUUACUUUUAAAAUUUUAUAGUCACUUGCUAAUGUGCUUGCUUUUCUGCCUUCUUAAGGGUGAGAUUGUUUUCUGUGCCAUCUAAGGAGUCUUCAAUAAGCAUAGGCUCCUUAUCUGUAGGUAAAUGAAAUGAAGUGUAUUAGCAGAGUAUCCACUGAUUUUUCUCUUAAAAUGUCCUGGUUGAUCUAAAUUCUAUCUGUGGACCAAAAUACUGGGGUCUGAAUCAGAAUUGCUUUGCAUUUAAACAGCAUGUUUCACAGUGACUGUUGGACCAUACUUACUUGUUCUGAUACAGUAGUGGAAGUUGCCAUUUAACAACUUUGUGGAGGAGGCAGUGUGUGACAUUCUUUUCCCCAAAUCAAAGAGAAAAACAAUGAAAGGGAAAAAGAAGUGUCGAUCAAUGUUUCUUCUUUGGAAAGAAAUGUGUAAUUUUAACCUCACUAUCUGAAACCUAGUGGCAAUCUGCUGUUCUCUCUUGCAGCCAUUUUCUCUGAACUCACCACCACUUACUGAAUAUCAGAACGAUCACAUUGGGACUGAAACAGUACGAUGUUGCAUUUAAGCUGAUGUAGAUGAUGUAGAUGUAACAUUUAAGGGUGUGACACAGGGACUGAAAAUUGUCGAGGACUUGACGUUUUCUUUCCCGCCUCUUUAAGGAUGAGAUUCGUUCACAAUAAGCAGUGUGCAUCGGGCAGAGAGGAGUGGUGUUUGCUGCCUGGAAUGUCAACUAAACCACUGUUACGCCCACGGAAAUUUGUUUCAUUGCUAUUAGUAGGUUUAAUAAAAUUGGCAGAGCUAAAAAAAAAAAUGGUAUUUUGGAAACUCAUAUCCAGGUUGAUCACUGUGUCUGCUUUUUACUUUAAAUGAACAUGUAACAUAUAGCAUCCCUGUUUUCCAGGGCUUUGAAGGAAAGGUAUCAGUGUGAGCAAAUGUGGACCAAUUGUGCGGAGAAGAGAAGUGAAGCUAGAAGGUGGGAGAAUUAGGAUCGAAACAUGGAAUCUUUGCUUGCCUAUCAUCAAGGACACUCAGUGAGAUGUUGGUCAAGAGGCAGCUUCAUUUGGCAUAUGGUAAAUCUGUCUCCUUUUCCCUCCCUUUAACCCUAGAGUGGGAUGCUGGGAGUUGAAGGUAUUUGAUAAGGGAUACUACCAUUUCCUGCCGAAGAAUCAAUUCAGGGCAAACUGUGUUAGCAAUUAUUUAUUAUAUGCCUACCUGUCUAUCUAGCAUCUAUCUGUCUAGCAUCUAUCUGUCUGUCUGUCUACCUACCUAUCUAUCUACCUACCUAUCAUAUAUCUUCAUCUCCUCUGUCUUUCUCAGUUUUUUACUGGUAAAAGCUGGCCUGAAGAAAUGGCUUUCCUGUGCAGUAGUGAUCAACUUCUUUUUUUUUUUUUGCUGUUUUUUUAUUUUUUAUUUUUAUUAUUAGUUACAUUUUAUUAAUUCUGUGUCCCAGCUGAAUCCUGCUCCCUCAUUUCUUCCCUUAUCUCCUCUCUGCCCCUUCCCAAGUCCACUGAUAGGUGAGGACCACCUCCCCUUUCAUCUGACCCCGUUUUAUCAGGUAUCUUCAGGACUGGCUGCAAAGUCCUCCUCUGUGGUCUAGCAGGGCUGCUCCUCCCUUGGGAAGGGGGGAUCUCAAAGAGCCUGCCAUUGAGUUCAUGUCACAAAUAGUCCCUGUUCUCCUUACUAGGGUAACCCACUUGGUUAUUGAGCUACCACAGGCUACAUUUGAGCAGAGGUUCUAGGUUAUAUCCAUACAUGGUCCUUGGUGGGGUGUCAAUCUCAGAAAAGACCCCUGUGCCCAGGUACAUUUGGUCCUUGUGGAGCUCCUAUCCUCUCCAUGUCAUACUAACUCCCCCUUCUUUCAUAUGAUGCCCUGCGCUCUGCGGAAAGUUUGGUUAUGAGUCUUAGUAUCUGCUUUGAUACACUGUUAGGUAGAGUCUUUCAGGGGCCCUCUGUUGUAGGCUCCUGUCCUGUUACUUGUUUUCUCCUACGUCCAAUGUCCAUCCCAUUUGUCUUUCUAAGUGAGGAUUGAUCAUCUUACCCUGGGUCUUCUUUCUUGUUUAUCUUCUUUAGGUGUAUAGAUUUUAGUAUGUUUAUCAUAUCUUACAGGUCUAUAUAAGUGAGUAUAUACCAUGUGUGUCUUUCUCCUUCUGGGAUGCUUUACUC
Long non-coding RNA from Meriones unguiculatus (Mongolian gerbil), 2587 nucleotides. RefSeq lists it as uncharacterized. The transcript has 2 exons. NCBI's taxonomy places the organism in Eukaryota, Metazoa, Chordata, Mammalia, Rodentia, Muridae. The record is from RefSeq and is a predicted model, not a curated record.